AGAUUGAACGCUGGCGGCAUGCCUUACACAUGCAAGUCGAACGGUAGAGUAGCAAUACUCGAGAGUGGCGAACGGGUGAGUAAUAUAUCGGAACGUGCCCAGUCGUGGGGGAUAACGUAGAGAAAUUUACGCUAAUACCGCAUACGAUCUACGGAUGAAAGCGGGGGAUCGCAAGACCUCGCGCGAUUGGAGCGGCUGAUAUCAGAUUAGGUUGUUGGUGAGGUAAAAGCUCACCAAGCCGACGAUCUGUAGCUGGCUUGAGAGAACGACCAGCCACACGUGGACUGAGACACGGCCCAGACUCCGUACGGAGGCAGCAGGUGGGGAAUUUGGACAAGUGGGACGAAAGCGUAGAUACCAGCAAUGCCGCGUGCAGGAAGGAGGACCGUUCGGUUCGUAAACUGUACUUUUAGGUAACGGUAACGAAAAGGUCUACUUUACCUAAAGUUAAACGACGGACCCUAAGU
RNAcentral lists this ribosomal RNA (467 nucleotides) under uncultured soil bacterium. RNAcentral describes it as "bacterial SSU rRNA". It matches the Rfam family "Bacterial small subunit ribosomal RNA", at positions 26 to 502 of the family's 1533-position model. The record is from RNAcentral.